GAGGAAAGAAGGCAGAGCUGGGGAGCUCCUCCUUGUGCCCUCUGACACGUCAAGGGCAAACUCAGGAGAAGGAGGAUGAAAGGAUUUUGACGCUGGAAACUCCUCCACAGGGUAUCCGCUGAAUUUGUUCUCCUCCAGAGAACCCACCCAAAGGGGAGAUUCACCCAGAGCUAACAUCUGUUGCCAAUCUUCCUAUUUUUUUUCCUCCCUAAAGCUCCACUGCAUGGAUGUAUAUCUUAGCUGAAGUCCUAGUUCUUCUAUGUGAGCUGCCACCACAGCAUGACUACUGACAGACAGAUGGUGUGGUUCCACGACUGGGAAACUAACCCAGGCCACCAAAGUGGUGAGAACACCAAAAGUUAACCACUAGGGCAUCAGGGCCAGCUCCAGAAAAUUUAUUUUAGAAAUCAAACAAUGUUAGAAUAAGAUUUCUAUGAUACAAAAGUCAUGUGUUCUACUGGACAGAAAUCCGCAGGUGGACAUGGAACUUCGCAGUGCCUGGGCUCAAACCAAACAGUAAAUUGCAAACUCAAACAUAAAGGAUAACUUUUCCCCACUAUCCAGCUGACAAGCAUCAUUAAACAGUCAGACCAUGGUUCUCAAUCGCUGCUGCCACCAACGGGGAUUAAUUCUCUGCUGAGCACAGCACAGAGCCAGAACCAUACUUGGCCAAGAACUAGGAACACAAACAAAGGCACAAGCUCAGAACACCAAAAAACAAAAUGAAGACUCGAUGAAAUGAAGUUCUUGGCCCUUUGAGAAUCAUUCUGGGGGCCAGGAGAACAUGAGCUUGGUUUUGAGCAGCCAUGAUGUACGCUUCUUCAGCAAGGUCGACUUGCUCCCUCAGGCGAGUCCACCCAAGCAACUGGGAAGGACAUCCAAAGCCAUCAAAAUAUAAUUUUCUGAAAGGUAAAAAACUGAUAUUCAUAUAAAUAUAAAAUAAACGUGUCAAAGAUCUUAUUCAAUUUAUAGUAAUUAAUGAAGCAACCAGUAAGAUGGUUAAACCAGUUCAAAGAGCACUUGAAGAAUGAGGGUUCAGAGGCAAUCUA
This 1049-nucleotide long non-coding RNA is filed under the name Equus caballus (horse). RNAcentral describes it as "lncRNA (ENSECAG00000045106.1)". Lineage: Eukaryota; Metazoa; Chordata; Mammalia; Perissodactyla; Equidae. The record is from RNAcentral.